RNAcentral lists this ribosomal RNA (498 nucleotides) under uncultured bacterium. RNAcentral describes it as "partial 16S ribosomal RNA". It matches the Rfam family "Bacterial small subunit ribosomal RNA", at positions 30 to 523 of the family's 1533-position model. The record is from RNAcentral.
AUUGAACGCUGGCGGCAUGCCUUACACAUGCAAGUCGAACGGUAACAGGUCUUCGGAUGCUGACGAGUGGCAAACGGGUGAGUAAUACAUCGGAACGUGCCUAGUAGUGGGGGAUAACUACUCGAAAGAGUGGCUAAUACCGCAUGAGAUCUACGGAUGAAAGCAGGGGAUCGCAAGACCUUGUGCUACUAGAGCGGCCGAUGGCAGAUUAGGUAGUUGGUGGGAUAAAAGCUCACCAAGCCGACGAUCUGUAGCUGGUCUGAGAGGACGAUCAGCCACAGUGGGACUGAGACACGGCCCAGACUCCUACGGGAGGCAGCAGUGGGGAAUUUUGGACAGUGGGCGCAAGCCUGAUCCAGCAAUGCCGCGUGCAGGAUGAAGGCCUUCGGGUUGUAAACUGCUUUUGUACGGAACGAAAAGCCCUGGGUUAAUACCCUGGGGUCAUGACGGUACCGUAAGAAUAAGCACCGGCUAACUACGUGCCAGCAGCCGCCGUAA